This 492-nucleotide ribosomal RNA is filed under the name Hyriopsis sp. MOTU-Rec-16. RNAcentral describes it as "partial 16S ribosomal RNA". It matches the Rfam family "Bacterial large subunit ribosomal RNA", at positions 1816 to 2598 of the family's 2925-position model. The record is from RNAcentral. Lineage: Eukaryota; Metazoa; Mollusca; Bivalvia; Unionida; Unionidae.
UCGUCUUUUGAUUUACACCGCAUAAAAGAUAAUGCCUGCCCAGUGAAUUUUUAAACGGCCGCGUUAGCGUGAGCGUGCUAAGGUAGCGUAAUAAUUAGCCUCUUAAUUGGAGGCCAGUGAAAGGCAACACCAGGAAUACCUAUACUUUGUACGAAAAAAGAACUUUUUCUCUAAGUGAAAAAUCUUAGAUAAUAACGGAAGACGAAAAGACCCCGCGGAACUUUACCUUCUCUCUUAAGACUUUACACCCAUUAAAUAAUUCGCAAUAAGGUUUGAUUGGGGCAAUCUCGGAACCAUCUAAACUUCCGACUUUUCUCACAAAGAAUUAAAAACUUGCUUUGGACUAAAAAGAAGUUACCCCGGGGAUAACAGCGUUAUCCAACUUGAGAGUACACAUCGAAAGUUGGGUUUGCGACCUCGAUGUUGGCUUAAGGACAUCCACAUUAGUGCAGCCGCUAUGAGUGGAUAGUCUGUUCGACUAUUAUAACCUUA